UCACAAUGCGCGAAAGCGUGAUGGGGGGAUCCUGAGUGCUUACACUUUUGUGUAAGCUUUUGCCAAGAGUUCACAUCUUGGAGAAUAAGUGGUGGGUAAGACCGGUGCCAGCAGCCGCGGUAACCCCGGCGCCACGAGUGGCAAUCUUAUAUUGGGCCUAAAGCAUUCGUAGCCGGAUUAAAAAAUCUCUUGUGAAAUUGUCGAACUUAAUACGACAGCGUGCAGGAGACACUUUUAGUCUAGAGACUGGGAGGUGUUGGGAGUAUGCCUUGGGGAGCGGUUAAAUGUGAUAAUCCAAGGUAGACUACCUGUGGCGAAGGCGCCCAACAAGAACAGUUCUGACGGUGAGGGAUGAAAGCUAGGGGAGCGAUCCGG
RNAcentral lists this ribosomal RNA (375 nucleotides) under uncultured archaeon. RNAcentral's name for it is "bacterial SSU rRNA". It matches the Rfam family "Archaeal small subunit ribosomal RNA", at positions 350 to 727 of the family's 1478-position model. The record is from RNAcentral.